UACAGAGGUCUCAAGCGUUGUUCGGAUUUAUUGGGCGUAAAGCGUGCGUAGGCGGCGGGGUAAGUGAGGUGUGAAAUCCCAGGGCUUAACCCUGGAACUGCACUUUAUACUGCCUUGCUCGAGGGCUGGAGAGGAGACUGGAAUUUACGGUGUAGCAGUGAAAUGCGUAGAGAUCGUAAGGAAGACCAGUGGCGAAGGCGAGUCUCUGGAAAGCUGCUGACGCUGAGGCACGAAGGCCAGGGGAGCAAACGGG
Molecule: ribosomal RNA, 253 nt
Filed under: uncultured bacterium
Lineage: Bacteria
Description: partial 16S ribosomal RNA
Rfam family: Bacterial small subunit ribosomal RNA
Source: RNAcentral